Polypterus senegalus (gray bichir) is the source of this 631-nucleotide long non-coding RNA. RefSeq lists it as uncharacterized. The record is from RefSeq and is a predicted model, not a curated record. NCBI's taxonomy places the organism in Eukaryota, Metazoa, Chordata, Cladistia, Polypteriformes, Polypteridae. The transcript has 4 exons.
CCACGCCCGACAACCGCCGACAGUCCGUAGAAAGAGAAGGAGAAGAGCUGCUGUACAGGAGCUGAAAACGUUUUCCGACACGGAACAAUGGCACAGCAGAACCACUCCUCUUUAGAAUGACAUGCCGGCUUUGAGGAAGUGCUGGUGUAGAAUGUUACUUGAGAACUCCAGCCCAAGGGGUUUAGACUUUAUUGAGCCAUUAAUGAGAAGACAGAGUAAAGACUUGGAACAAAAAAUGUCUUGCUAUUCUGUUCCAUAGCACUGCGUCAAUGCAGAUUUUUACUUUUAGAAGAAACGUCAGCCACCUUCUCCAACAUCCAGCACAGGGCACUGAUGAGCAGCAGCACACAGAAUCCUUCAGCAUCUUACCGACGCAGAGAAGUGGUGCGCUGAGAACAUUUCUGUGUUCAGGCAGCACAUCUCACUCCCUUCAUUACUGUCAAUGGAGAAAGACGACAUUGAGGAGGCCCUUCAGAAAUUUGAUUUGCUAUCUGAAUUUCCAGAAGAAGAGGAGAGGGAAUAUGUCUUUAGACAUAAUCCUUUUUUCACAUAUGGAAGACAUGCAUCUGUUUUUAGAUGAUGUGAGAGGAAAAAGGAAAAUAGAUAGACUUUGUAUAAUGUUAACAUUUAC